Molecule: ribosomal RNA, 377 nt
Filed under: Nostoc sp. 2RC
Lineage: Bacteria; Bacillati; Cyanobacteriota; Cyanophyceae; Nostocales; Nostocaceae
Description: bacterial SSU rRNA
Rfam family: Bacterial small subunit ribosomal RNA
Source: RNAcentral
UGCCAGCACGUUGUGGUGGGGACUCGUAAGAAACUGCCGGGGUUAACUCGGAGGAAGGUGGGGAUGACGUCAAAUCAUCAUGCCCCUUAUGAGCUGGGCUACACACGUGCUACAAUGGACAAUACAAAGGGCAGCGAAACCGCGAGGUCAAGCAAACCCCAUAAAGUUGUUCUCAGUUCGGAUUGUAGUCUGCAACUCGACUAUAUGAAGCUGGAAUCGCUAGUAAUCGUAGAUCAGCAUGCUACGGUGAAUACGUUCCCGGGUCUUGUACACACCGCCCGUCACACCACGAGAGUUUGUAACACCCGAAGCCGGUGGAGUAACCAUUUGGAGCUAGCCGUCGAAGGUGGGACAAAUGAUUGGGGUGAAGUCGUAAC